RNAcentral lists this ribosomal RNA (299 nucleotides) under uncultured bacterium. RNAcentral describes it as "partial 16S ribosomal RNA". It matches the Rfam family "Bacterial small subunit ribosomal RNA", at positions 338 to 651 of the family's 1533-position model. The record is from RNAcentral.
CCUACGGGGCGCAGCAGUGGGGGAUAUUGCACAAUGGGGGGAACCCUGAUGCAGCGACGCCGCGUGGGCGAUGGAGUUCUUCGGCAUGUAAAGCCCUAUCAGCAGGGAAGAAAGAAAUGACGGUACCUGAGUAAGAAGCCCCGGCUAACUACGUGCCAGCAGCCGCGGUAAUACGUAGGGGGCAAGCGUUAUCCGGAAUUACUGGGUGUAAAGGGAGCGUAGACGGUAAUGCAAGUCUGGAGUGAAAGGCGGGGGCCCAACCCCCGGACUGCUCUGGAAACUGUGUAACUGGAGUGCAG